Long non-coding RNA from Mustela lutreola (European mink), 838 nucleotides. RefSeq lists it as uncharacterized. The record is from RefSeq and is a predicted model, not a curated record. NCBI's taxonomy places the organism in Eukaryota, Metazoa, Chordata, Mammalia, Carnivora, Mustelidae. The transcript has 3 exons.
UACUGUGUUUUGCAGGUAUUGUGCUUCUUACAAACUGAAGGUUCAAGACUUCAGUGGAGACCGCAGAUGUGGUGGAAAUACCAAGAGAACUGGAAGUGGAGCCUGAAGCUGGGACUGAAUUUCUGCCAUCUCAUGAUAAAACUAACAGAUGAGGAAUGGUUUCUGAUGGAUGAGCAAUGAAAAUGGGUUUUUGAGAUGAAAUCUCCUGCAGUGAAGAUUGUUGAAAUGACAAGGGAUUUCGAAUAUUCCAUAAACUCAGCUGGGAGAGCAGCAGCAGGGUUUGAGAGGACAGACUCCAAUUCUGAGAGAUGUUCUACUUGCAUUGUGCCUGUUGUUUGCUCCCCUCUAACACCAGAGAAGUCCCAACAAAUCGAUCGAUGAGAAAGAGAUGACUGGACUUAACGGCAGGCGGGACGUCAGGCCACAUUAAAUACAGUAACUCUGCAUGAAGUACUGCAUAGGUAUUCUCUCAUGACAGCAGCAGAUGUGGAUUUUUCACACACGUGACUGUCAUCUAUUGAGUGUACGAAGCGUGAAAAGGCUCCAUUGAAAGAGGAAGCAGCUCCAUUGAAAGGGGCACCCUCCUACACUAUUGGUAGGAAUGCAAGCUGGUGCAGCCACUCUGGAAAAACAGUAUGAAGAUUCCUCAAGAAGUUGAAAAUAGGGGCACCUGGGUGGCUCAGUGGGUUAAAGCCUCUGCCUUCGGCUCGGGUCAUGAUCUCAGGGUCCUGGGAUCGAACCCCGAAUAGGGCUCUCUGCUCAGCGGGGAGCCUGCUUCCUCCUCUUUCUCUCUGCCUGCCUCUCUGCCUACUUGUGACCUCUGUCUGUCAAAUAAAUA